GAUGAAGAACGCAGCGAAAUGCGAUAAGUAGUGUGAAUUGCAGAUUUCAGUGAAUCAUCGAAUCUUUGAACGCACAUUGCGCCCCUUGGUAUCCCGAGGGGCAUGCCUGUUCGAGCGUCAUUUCACCACUCAAGCCUGGCUUGGUGUUGGGCGACGUCCUCUUUGGGGACGCGCCUCGAAACGCUCGGCGGCGUGGCACCGGCUUUAAGCGUAGCAGAAUCUUUCGCUUUGGAAGUCGGGGCCCCGUCUGCCGAAAGACCUGCUCGCAAGGUUGACCUCGGAUCAGGCAGGGAUACCCGCUGAACUUAAGCAUAUCAAUAAGCGGAGGA
This 329-nucleotide unclassified non-coding RNA is filed under the name soil metagenome. Its description in RNAcentral is "partial contains 5.8S ribosomal RNA, internal transcribed spacer 2, and large subunit ribosomal RNA". The stretch from base 1 to 120 matches the Rfam family "5.8S ribosomal RNA", at positions 35 to 154 of the family's 154-position model. The record is from RNAcentral.